RNAcentral lists this ribosomal RNA (253 nucleotides) under uncultured bacterium. Its description in RNAcentral is "partial 16S ribosomal RNA". It matches the Rfam family "Bacterial small subunit ribosomal RNA", at positions 524 to 776 of the family's 1533-position model. The record is from RNAcentral.
UACGGAGGGUGCAAGCGUUAUCCGGAUUUACUGGGUUUAAAGGGUGCGUAGGUGGGCAGGUAAGUCAGCGGUGAAAUCUCCGAGCUUAACUCGGAAACUGCCAUUGAUACUAUCUGUCUUGAAUAUCCUGGAGGUGAGCGGAAUAUGUCAUGUAGCGGUGAAAUGCUUAGAUAUGACAUAGAACACCAAUUGCGAAGGCAGCUCACUAGGGGGUCAUUGACACUGAGACACGAAAGCGUGGGGAUCAAACAGG